This 448-nucleotide ribosomal RNA is filed under the name uncultured bacterium. RNAcentral's name for it is "SSU rRNA". It matches the Rfam family "Bacterial small subunit ribosomal RNA", at positions 26 to 518 of the family's 1533-position model. The record is from RNAcentral.
AGAACGAACGCUGGCGGCAGGCCUCAAACAUGCAAGUCUAGGGGGGUGUAGCAAUACAUCACCGGCGGACGGGUGCGUAACGCGUGGGAAUGUACCUAUUGGUUCGGAACAACUGAGGGAAACUUCAGCUAAUACCGGAUGAGCCCGAAAGGGGAAAGAUUUCUCGCCAAUAGAUCAGCCCGCGUCCGAUUAGCUAGUUGGUGGGGUUAAAGCCUACCAAGGCGACGAUCGGUAGCUGUUCUGAGAGGAAGAUCAGCCACACUGGGACUGAGACACGGCCCAGACUCCUACGGGAGGCAGCAGUUGGGAAUCUUGGACAAUGGGGGAAACCCUGAUCCAGCCAUGCCGCGUGAGUGAUGAAGGCCUUCGGGUUGUAAACUCUUUCGACGGGGACGAUAAUGACGGUACCCGUAGAAGAAGCUCCGGCUAACUUCGUGCCAGCAGCCGC